UACGGAGGGUGCGAGCGUUGUCCGGAAUCACUGGGCGUAAAGGGUGCGUAGGUGGCUCGUUAAGUGGCUGGUGAAAUCCCGGGGCUCAACUCCGGGGCUGCCGGUCAGACUGGCGGGCUCGAGCACGGUAGAGGCAGAUGGAAUUCCCGGUGUAGCGGUGGAAUGCGUAGAUAUCGGGAAGAAUACCGGUGGCGAAGGCGUUCUGCUGGACCGUUGCUGACACUGAGGCACGACAGCGUGGGGAGCAAACAGG
Molecule: ribosomal RNA, 253 nt
Filed under: uncultured bacterium
Lineage: Bacteria
Description: partial 16S ribosomal RNA
Rfam family: Bacterial small subunit ribosomal RNA
Source: RNAcentral